This 209-nucleotide ribosomal RNA is filed under the name uncultured bacterium. RNAcentral's name for it is "partial 16S ribosomal RNA". It matches the Rfam family "Bacterial small subunit ribosomal RNA", at positions 1284 to 1500 of the family's 1533-position model. The record is from RNAcentral.
UGUCUCAGUUCGGAUUGGAGUCUGCAACCCGACUCCAUGAAGCUGGAUUCGCUAGUAAUCGCGCAUCAGCCACGGCGCGGUGAAUACGUUCCCGGGCCUUGUACACACCGCCCGUCAAGCCAUGGAAGCCGGGAGUGCCUGAAGUGCGUGACCGCAAGGAGCGUCCUAAGGCAAUACCGGUGACUGGGGCUAAGUCGUAACAAGGUACC